GAUGAACGCUAGCGAUAGGCCUAACACAUGCAAGUCGAGGGGCAUCACAUGAGGCAGCAAUGCCGAUGGUGGCGACCGGCGCACGGGUGAGUAACACGUAUGCAACCUGCCUUCAACAAGGGGAUAACCCGUUGAAAAACGGACUAAUACCCUAUAAUACAGGGGUCCCGCAUGGGGAUAUUUGUUAAAGAUUGAUCGGUUGAAGAUGGGCAUGCGUUCCAUUAGCUGGUUGGUGAGGUAACGGCUCACCAAGGCAACGAUGGAUAGGGGAACUGAGAGGUUUAUCCCCCACACUGGUACUGAGACACGGACCAGACUCCUACGGGAGGCAGCAGUGAGGAAUAUUGGUCAAUGGACGCAAGUCUGAACCAGCCACGUCGCGUGAAGGAAGACGGCCCUACGGGUUGUAAACUUCUUUUAUACGGGAAUAAAGUGCCCCACGCGUGGGGUUUUGCAUGUACCGUAUGAAUAAGGAUCGGCUAACUCCGUGCCAGCAGCCG
Molecule: ribosomal RNA, 500 nt
Filed under: uncultured bacterium
Lineage: Bacteria
Description: bacterial SSU rRNA
Rfam family: Bacterial small subunit ribosomal RNA
Source: RNAcentral